GUCCAACUAUGUUUUGUUUAAAGCUGUUAUUAGCGUUUUAUAUAACUCCGAUCAAAUUCUUCACAGCAUAGAUGUACAGUAAUGUGCAAUAAUUACAUAUCUGACAUAGUAUUUUAGCCUUCAGGUUUCUUCUGAAGUCCAAGUUGUUUCUCUUUUUUAUUCCCCAGUAUUAUUUAUCUUGUUUAAUUUCUCAGUGUUGGGUUUACAGCUCUGUUACAAUUUUGCAUUCUUAUUUCAAGGUACCAGUUACUACAGUUAUCUCGAUGCCUCUGGCAUCACAGAGAAAAGCAGAAGAUGCUAUUUGUCAUUGCUGACUUGAAGCACCAGCCUUGGACGCCAAGAGAUUACAGUUUUAUUAAAGCUACAUAGUUUGCAUCAGGAUUUAAAUAGGUGGUGGUGGAGUAAGUCAGGUUUAUGUCCAUUUUAAGAGCUUUAGUGUUUUCUAUGUUUUUUGUUUAUUUGUUUUUGUUUUUAGUAUUGUGUUGUGUAUCAAAAUCUGAUACGUUUCCAUGCAUUCUCAAUCAUCUGGGUAAAAGGAUCAGAGAAAGUUGAUUCUGUUCAUCUGAACAUAGCAUUUUCAGUGGGAGAAACAUUUUGUCACCUAUCUGAAUGACCUGCUCCAUCUCAGGUGACUGAAGGUUCCCCGUUACAGUAUGACAGCACCAUUCUACAGACAUGGAGGCCAUGGAAGCAGAAGAACAUCAUAUCAAAAAUGCUCUUAUUAAAUGUGGUUAUCCCAGCUAAACAUUUGUCAAAGCUAGGAAGAGAUUUAAACAAUGCUCCAGGCAACCCAGAAGAUAAGGUGUCAUGGCCCACCAUCCUCUCUCUCUCUCUCGCUCUCUCUCUCUCAUUUGUAGGUGUUCUCUCUCCUUUUUUCUGUCUGUGUGUGCAUUUGGGCUGGUUUUGUGCAAGGGCAGGACUCAUCCUAAGUUCAUACCCUCAGUCUCCACAUACACCUUUGAUUUCACACCCGAUAUCAUGUUUGGCUGCCACUACUUAAGUGAAUGGCUGAUAUUCAGUCUUUACUGGGUUGUUGAACAACUAACAGUUACUGAAGCUCUGGCUCCCUUGCUUAUGAUUGCUCUGCCUGUAUCUUUGAGAAAACUUAC
Astatotilapia calliptera (eastern happy) is the source of this 1109-nucleotide long non-coding RNA. NCBI's taxonomy places the organism in Eukaryota, Metazoa, Chordata, Actinopteri, Cichliformes, Cichlidae. The record is from Ensembl.